RNAcentral lists this ribosomal RNA (251 nucleotides) under uncultured bacterium. Its description in RNAcentral is "partial 16S ribosomal RNA". It matches the Rfam family "Bacterial small subunit ribosomal RNA", at positions 60 to 339 of the family's 1533-position model. The record is from RNAcentral.
AGUCGAACGCCUAGUUUACUAGGAGUGGCGCACGGGUGCGUAACGCGUGGGAAUAUACCCUUGGGUGCGGAACAACAGUUGGAAACGACUGCUAAUACCGCAUAAUGACUCCGGUCCAAAGAUUUAUCGCCAAAGGAUUAGCCCGCGUUAGAUUAGCUUGUUGGUGAGGUAAGAGCUCACCAAGGCUACGAUCUAUAGCUGGUCUGAGAGGAUGAUCAGCCACACUGGGACUGAGACACGGCCCAGACUCC